This is a transfer RNA of Camelus ferus (Wild Bactrian camel), 72 nucleotides long. It matches the Rfam family "tRNA". Rfam says of the family: Transfer RNA (tRNA) molecules are approximately 80 nucleotides in length. Their secondary structure includes four short double-helical elements and three loops (D, anti-codon, and T loops). Further hydrogen bonds mediate the characteristic L-shaped molecular structure. tRNAs have two regions of fundamental functional importance: the anti-codon, which is responsible for specific mRNA codon recognition, and the 3' end, to which the tRNAs corresponding amino acid is attached (by aminoacyl-tRNA synthetases). tRNAs cope with the degeneracy of the genetic code in two manners: having more than one tRNA (with a specific anti-codon) for a particular amino acid; and 'wobble' base-pairing, i.e. permitting non-standard base-pairing at the 3rd anti-codon position. NCBI's taxonomy places the organism in Eukaryota, Metazoa, Chordata, Mammalia, Artiodactyla, Camelidae. The record is from Rfam.
GAGGGUAUAGCUCAGUGGUAGAGCACAUACUUAGCAUGCACAAGGUCCUGGGUUCAGUCCCCAGGACCUUCA